GGGGUUGUAGCUUAGUGGUACAGCACUCACCUCGCACGUGUGAGGCGCUGGGUUCAAUCCUCAGCAUCACAU
Molecule: non-coding RNA, 72 nt
Organism: Ictidomys tridecemlineatus (thirteen-lined ground squirrel)
Lineage: Eukaryota; Metazoa; Chordata; Mammalia; Rodentia; Sciuridae
Source: Rfam